GACGAACGCUGGCGGCGUGCUUAACACAUGCAAGUCGAACGGAAAGGCCCUGCUCUUGUGGGGUGCUCGAGUGGCGAACGGGUGAGUAACACGUGAGUAACCUGCCCUUGACUUUGGGAUAACUUCAGGAAACUGGGGCUAAUACCGGAUAGGAGCUCCUGCUGCAUGGUGGUGGUUGGAAAGUUUCGGCGGUUGGGGAUGGACUGGCGGCUUAUCAGCUUGUUGGUGGGGUAGUGGAUUACCAAGGCUUUGACGGGUAGCCGGCCUGGGAGGGUGACCGGCCACAUUGGGACUGCGAUACGGCCCAGAAGCCUACGGGAGGCAGCAGUGGGGAAUAUUGCACAAUGGGCGGAAGCCAGAUGCGGCAACGCCGCGUGCGGGAUGACGGCCUUCGGGUUGUAAACCGCUUUCGCCUGUGACGAAGCGUGAGUGACGGUAAUGGGUAAAGAAGCACCGGCUAACUACGUG
RNAcentral lists this ribosomal RNA (468 nucleotides) under uncultured bacterium. RNAcentral's name for it is "partial 16S ribosomal RNA". It matches the Rfam family "Bacterial small subunit ribosomal RNA", at positions 28 to 507 of the family's 1533-position model. The record is from RNAcentral.